This 460-nucleotide ribosomal RNA is filed under the name uncultured bacterium. RNAcentral's name for it is "partial 16S ribosomal RNA". It matches the Rfam family "Bacterial small subunit ribosomal RNA", at positions 338 to 795 of the family's 1533-position model. The record is from RNAcentral.
CCUACGGGAGGCAGCAGUGGGGAAUAUUGGGCAAUGGGCGCAAGCCUGAACCAGCCAAGUCGCGUGAGGGAGGACGGCCCUACGGGUUGUAAACCUCUUUUGCCGGGGAGCAACGGGCGUCACGUGUGGCGCCACUGAGAGUACCCGGAGAAAAAGCAUCGGCUAACUCCGUGGCAGCAGCCGCGGUAAUUAGGAGGAUGGGAGGGUUAUCAGGAUUUAUUGGGUUUAAAGGGGUCGUAGGCGGAUAAGUAAGUUAGUGGUCAAAUUGCGGGGCUCAACCCCUUCCCGCCAUUGAAACUGGCGUUCUUGAGUGGAAGAGAAGUAUGCGGAAUGCGUGGUGUAGCGGUGAAAUGCAUAGAUAGCACGCAGAACCCCGAUUGCGAAGGCAGCAUGCCGGCUUCCGACUGACGCUGAAGCACGAAAGCGUGGGGAUCGAACAGGAUUAGAUACCCUUGUAGUC